This is a long non-coding RNA of Oncorhynchus tshawytscha (Chinook salmon), 4499 nucleotides long. The record is from Ensembl. NCBI's taxonomy places the organism in Eukaryota, Metazoa, Chordata, Actinopteri, Salmoniformes, Salmonidae.
GAUGAAUCAGACACCUUAUUGAUAGCAACAGCUCAUGGUCCUUCUGGAAUCAGAGUUGUUUUUUUUUACGGUGGAGGAAUGUAGUCAGAGAAAUACUGAUAAAUGUCUUGCUCGAGCUGUGUAUGCAGCUGGUUCACCGCUGAUGUUCACAGGCAAUGUGUAUUGGAAGAGAUUGCUGAAUGUUCUUCGCCCAGCACACACUCCUCCAACCAGACAUGCUUUAUCUACCGUAAUUUCCGGACUAUAAGCCGCUACUUUUUUUCCCACGCUUUGACGCGGCUAAUUUAUGGAUUUUUCCCGCUUUCACAAGAUUCAUGCCGCCAAGAAACUGAGCACCGUCACAUAAUGUGACGUAAAUCGAGCGCGCUCAAACUUCCCAUCAUUCUGAUUACGGUAGUCAUUUUGUCACCCUCAUCAUGGCAAAGACACGGAGAAAUGCAUAUGAUGCAGCUUUCAAGUUGAAGGCGAUCAAUCUGGCUGUUGGAAAAGGAAAUAGAGCUGCUGACAGCGUGGAGCAUUGUCAAAAAAUCCACUAUCAUCAACGGGUUUCGAAAGGCUGGACUGCUGCGUGUUGAAGAGGGCAGCGAUCCAACAUCGGAUGAAGCAAUUCUGAGGCUAUUCAACUCCGACACCGAAGGAGAUGACUUCAGUGGUUUCAAUGCACAGGAGGAGGAAGAUAGUGACCAAUGACUUUCUUGGUAGGCUACUGUUUACUGCUAUUUUUUUAAAAUUUUGUUACAAGCCGUGUUUAGUUUAAAGGCUGUGUAAAGUUAAUUUGUUUCAAUGUACCGGUAGGCACCUGCGCCUUAUAGACAUGUGCGGCUUAUUUAUGUACAAAAUACAUAUAUUAUUUUUCAUUCGGUGGGUGCGGUUUAUAUUCUGGUGCACUUAGUAGUCCAGAAAUUACGGUACUAAUUUGCAGAAUGCAGAGUUCAAGUGAAGGUCAAGUAAAUCAUAGAGAAAGCAGACUGUAUUACAAUCAUCUCUGAUGGGUGGUCGAAUGUUCGCGGGCAAGGAAUAAUUAACUACAUCAUCUCCACCCCGCAACCAGUAUUCUACAAGAGCACAGACACAAGGGACAACAGACACACCGGUCUCUACAUUGCAGAUGAGCUGAAGGCAGUCAUCAAUGACCUUGGACCACAGAAGGUAUUUGCACUGGUGCCAGACAAUGCUGCGAACAUUAAGGCUGCUUGCUCACAUCACACCCAUUGGCUGUGCUGCUCAUGCAUUGAAUCUGCUCCUCAAGGACAUCACGGAACUGAAAACAAUGGAUACACUCUACAAGAGAGCCAAGGAAAUGGUUAGGUAUGUGAAGGGUCAUCAAGUUAUAGCAGCAAUCUACCUUACCAAGCAAAGUGAAAAGAAUAAGAGCACCACAUUGAAGCUGCCCAGCAACACCCGUUGGGGUGGUGUUGUCAUGUUUGACAGUCUCCUGGAGGGGAGACUCUAAAAGAAGGAGUCUCUAAAAGAAAUGACCAUAUCACAGACUGCCGAUAUGGACAGCCCCAUCAAGAGGAUCCUCCUGGAUGAUGUAUUUUGGGAGAGUGGUAAGCAGCCUGAAACUCCUGUAACCUAUAGCAGUAGCCAUUGCACAGAUUGAGGGAGACAAUGCCAUCCUGUCUGAUGUUCAGACUCUGCUUGCAGAUGUAAGAGAAGAAAUCCUUACUGCUCUGCCCACUUCACUGUUGCUCCAAGCAGAGGAAACUGCAGUUCUGAAAUGCAUCAAAAAGCGUGAAGACUUCUGCCUGAAGCCCAUGUUAGACCCCAAGUAUGCUGGCAAGAGCAUCCUGUCUGGUGCAGAGAUCAACAAGGCCUAUGGUGUCAUCACUACCGUGUCUCGCCACCUUGGCCUGGAUGCUAAGUUUCUUAGCAGUCUGGCGAUGUACACUUCCAAGCAAGGGCUGUGGGAUGGAGAUGCAAUAUGGCAGUUAUGCCAACAUAUCUCAUCAGCCAUCUGGUGGAAUGGACUUUGUGGAUCUGAGGCUCUUUCCCCUGUUGCCUCCAUCAUCCUCCAAAUCCCACCAACAUCAGCCACCUCAGAGCGCAACUGGUCCUUGUCUGGGAACCCGCACACCAAAGCACGCUACAGGCUGACCAAUACAAGAGUUUAAAAAUUGGUGGGCAUCCUGGCAAAUUUGAGACUUUUAUGAGCCAUCCUCAACAAGGUUGAGCUGUGCAUCACCCAAUGAAGUGCAGCUCACUCACUGGCGAUGGCCCUUGUGUCAAAAGCCUUUCUCUCUUGUUUUAGUUUGUAAAGCAAUGCUGUUUGCUCAGUAGGCCUAUUUGGAAGUUAAUAACAUACUGUAUUUGGUAGCCUAUAGGCAGAUUAGUCUUCUCUUUUCAGCAGGAGCCAUUUGCUUUCCUGUCUGUGGUUUCCUGUCUGUGGUUUCCUGUCUGUGGUUUCCUGUCUGUGGUUUCCUGUCUGUGGUUUCCCGCGAUUGUAUUUGAAGUAUUGCGAAAGGUCUGUUUUGGCUACAUGCUGUUUGUUCACUGACAGAUUUGCUGAGUGUUCCAAACUGUAGGCUAUGCCUUGUGAUUGGGCUACACACAAUCCACAGUUAGCUAUUUUUUUUAUAAGCUAUUGAUCAAAUCAAAUUUAUUUAUGUAGCUCUUCGCACAUCAGCUUAUAUCUCAAAGUGCUGUACAGAAACCCAGCCUAAAACCCCAAACAGCAAGCAAUGCAGGUGUUGAAGCACGUUGGCUAGGAAAAACUCCCUAGACAGGCGUCCGGUGAUCCUCUGUGGCUAAAUUAUAGGCCUACACCUGGUGUAGUCUUCUGAAUGAUUUCAUUUCUUUCUGAAUAGACAGCAGUCAUUCUAUAUCUUUGGCAAAUGUAUGUCAAUUUAUCAGGCGUGCUGCGGCACCUCCAGCACCCUUCACGUGGACAGGAAGAUCUGCGCCAUACCCCAGGGUAUUAUGCUGGGGCCGCGAGAGCAGGUGUGUGUGGUACUGAGUUCACAAGGGUAGUCUUUCAUUGUAUGUUUGGGAUGUACAUGUUUUUACAGCUCAUCCCACCCCUCCCAUGGGGUGGUUAUUUUUUAAUCCCAGGUAGAAACGGUGCCUGUAAAUCCCAGUGUUGUUACAAUGUCUUACUUUGUAAGCAUGGACUUUCAAUGAUUCAUUUUAAGUCAAACUACAAAUAUGGGACAUUGACUGGAAAACCACCUGUCAGCCACAAAGUCCUUUUUAAACUACUCAUGUGACUGAUCAGGAAAACACAAGUCAGAUAAUUUAACAUAGACAUACUCAAGGUAAUACAUCUUGGUGACUCAUGAGGGCUGUGACUGCCAGGUUUUGAUGGCUGAAAGCCAUGCUCAGUUUCUAGAGAAAACGCAUACGAUUCCCCAGCCUGCAUAGGUAUGAAUCCCCUUUCAGACCAGUCUCUUGGAUUUUCGCACACUGUUGUAAAAUGUUGACUCAUUGUGAUGUCUUUCCCCGUCCAGUGGUUUUACCACAUUGCAGCCUGCCUGGCUGAGUUCCUGGAGCUGAAGGAUCAGACGCUACCUCUGGGCCUUCUCCUUCGAGCAGAAAGACAUCGACAAGAGUAUCCUGAUCCGUUGGACCAAAGGCUUUCUUUAACUGUUCAGGAGUGGAUGUGGUCAGGCUACUGAGAGAAGCCAUCCACAGCAGAGAGGACAGCGUUGAGACCAGAUUCAUCUCUGGAGGUAGAGGACUUCAGUAAGCAGCUCCAGGAGACCGUAAGAAUCCUAAGUGUGACAUCACUUUCCUCGUCUCGGAGGAUGGCAGUGGAAAAGGGCACUGACAUGGUAAUGGCGGUGGCACAGAAGCUGGCCAUAUCGCCCCGACUGUUAGAGGACAGCAGAGGAGGAUGAGGAAGAUGGAAAUGAAUAUGUUAGGUCAGAGGAGGCAUACUGGAAAGACCACUUGAAAUGCAGCACCAUAAAAAUGCCCCCCUCAAAUGCUUUUGUUGUACGGUACAUGCUAAACAGCUCACUCACUUUCUCCUACUGUAUGGAAAUUAAUGAAUUCAUUGAGGUUAACUUUUUUACAGUAGGCUAUUUUUUGUUGUUGUACAUGGUUAACUUUCAGCGAGGAAAUGCCCUUUUUCUUAAACUUCUGUGUGAAAUAUGUAUUAUGUAUAACAAAUGUUACAUUAUUUUAUACUAGAAUGAAAACUUGUAAUGGGUAAACUCUCACUGUAUUGCUAGUAUAUUUAGAGACCAGAUAUUUGAUACUUGGACAUCACUGCAGCUAUAUUUGAAUGGCAGCUUGGUAAUACAAUUAGUCUUGAAGUAAAAAUCUAUGAAUUUCAUGGUCAAGCCAAGUUCCACAGAAUGGAAAGAGACACAUGCUCACGCCCCCUGUUGGAGAAACUGUACAAAGGAACAUCAGGUCAUUAAAUCAAUGUUUUCCGCAAAGUUAUACAACUUUAGAAUAUUCAGUCACUCUUAAACAACAGACACCUUUCUGAACACGUGUUAUGUUAAUCAAAACUUACUGCAAAUAAAGAUGGCUAGCAUUUGAUAUUGAUACAA